AGCCACUGAUCCCCAAAGCCUCUAUGCAAGGAAAAGAAGAGAGAAAAUAAAUGAGAGUCAGAGUUCUGCAGAACAUUGUCCCCAAUGGAACAAAGGUUGAUGUUAGUACAAUGCUUGAGGAAGCUGUCCAUUAUGUGAAGUUCUUACAACUCCAAAUUAAGCUGUUAAGCUCUGAUGAUAUGUGGAUGUAUGCUCCCAUCUGUUACAAUGGAAUGGACCUGGGACUUGAUCUGAAGCUCACCUCACCAAA
Prunus avium (sweet cherry) is the source of this 250-nucleotide non-coding RNA. NCBI's taxonomy places the organism in Eukaryota, Viridiplantae, Streptophyta, Magnoliopsida, Rosales, Rosaceae. The record is from RefSeq and is a predicted model, not a curated record.